Long non-coding RNA from Rosa chinensis, 1430 nucleotides. RefSeq lists it as uncharacterized. The record is from RefSeq and is a predicted model, not a curated record. The transcript has 6 exons. Lineage: Eukaryota; Viridiplantae; Streptophyta; Magnoliopsida; Rosales; Rosaceae.
UUUCAGACAAUGCACUUGAGUUUAUGUUGUGUGAGUUUUAGGGUUCAAUAUAUAUGUUGGCGCCCAAGAAUUGGCUUUUAACACUUCAUUAAAUUUUCAAAUUUCACUUCCCUCCGUUCGAUCAAAUUUUGGUGAAAUGUUUGAGCAGUAUAUAAGGGAAAUGUAAACCUAUAGUCUUUCCUCCUUUGCUCCUUCUUCCUCGCUCGGGCCGCAGACCUCUCUCUCUCUUUCUCUCUCCCCUUUCCUCUCAUCUUCUCUCUGUCACGCCGGAAAGCUCGACUUCCGUAUGUCGUCUUUUGACACCGCCACCACCAAAAGAUAGCCUAGGCAAUGAAGAACAAAACCCAGCCACUCCUCCGUCGAUCGAGAUGACCAGACCACGAAUUCUAAUUUCCCUCUCACGAAUUCAUAUACCUCUAUAUCUCUCUUUCUCGAUCUUCUUCUCUUUAUCCUCGCCCAAAUUGCCAGUCAUCUGCCUCUUAUCUCUCUCUCUUAUGCUGAACAAGAUUAGAUCUGAGCGUCAGGUGUUCGGGAGGGCGGCCGCACAAGGAAGGGGGAAGGGCCCAUCAUCGUAAACCUCUCUCAGAUCCAAUCUCUCUGGUUGGUAUGGACGACCUCUGGCUCUCCCAAUGCUACCACAACCACUCUGACAUUUACGACGACAGCCGCCAUGCCAGCCCAACAAUUUGUCCAGCGAAAAGACCCAGCCCCCUCAGCCCGGCAAGAAGCAGUUCAUCAUCGAACCCUUUCAAAGGUUUGGCCUCGAUCCCGAAGCUCGCGUUUGUCACGAGUAGCAGACAAAUAUAUUGGGGAGCCCUUGGAUCGCCGUCAUCGCAGCCGUUCUUCUCAGUCUCUAUUACUGUUUCUGUGUAAUUGGGCAAUGGCGCGCAGGCCUACUUCUCCUACCGAGUAACCACCAAGGAUCGAUAAUGAGAGGCCUCCUCAAGGUGGAGAACCCUCAAUGCACAAUGUCGAUUGGAGAGUCAAUUGCUGCCAGAUUCACGUGAAAUAAUAGUCAAAAGUAUAUAUCAAGGCAGAAGCACCUGUUGGCUGCUCCCACUCACACUUGUGCUACUCCCUCUUUUUUUCCUAGUUUUGAUACUGGAUUUUUGGAUGUGAGAACUCUAGCCGGAGAACAAGAUAAUUGUGAUUUUGCUUACAACUAUCUUAGUGGUACAAUACUAAAGGAAUGGGCUUCAAGCUUGCAAUGAUUUUGUUUACAACUAUCUUGGGAGAUCGAGCAAAUUGCAUUCUUUUUUAUUAUGAUGUAAAGCUCAUGAAACUUGAAAGCUUGUUUAGCUAAUGAAAUAGAUAUAGGCACUUGGGCAAGCUUAAUUCCUGUGUAAAUGUUAGGAUGAAUACUGCUGAUGGAAUGAAAUGGUUUUUGGAAUCAAGGAUAUGUUGUUCAAUUCUACACAAUGUAUAUCUUC